This 3713-nucleotide long non-coding RNA is filed under the name Vitis vinifera (wine grape). RNAcentral's name for it is "long non-coding RNA (VVIN_LNC000923)". Lineage: Eukaryota; Viridiplantae; Streptophyta; Magnoliopsida; Vitales; Vitaceae. The record is from RNAcentral.
UUAUGUCAUAGUGAAUGAUUCUUUCUACACAUUCUUCAUGUAAGUAAGCUAUGCCCUUUGCUGUCCCAACUGCUAUAUGAUGCAGCUUCUCCCACUCGACUUCUUGUGCCUCGCUGAACAAGUACUUGUCCAGGGAUCCAUUUUCCAGGUAUUCGUAGACAAGUGCGCUCAUGAACUGAUCAUAGCAGAAACCAUAGAGCCUGACUAGAUUGAUAUGGUAAGUCCUGCCUAUGGUUCCCACCUCUGCCAUGAACUGUUCUUCAGCUUGUCUGUCUGGACUCCUAUUCAGGACCUUCACUGCAAUCUUGACCCCAUUGGGGAACUGCCCCUUGUAAACCAUUCCAAACCCUCCAGAACCCAGUGUUGUGGUGUAGUUAUCAGUGAAGCUGCAUAGCUGCUGAGCAGUGAACCUGACCGGCUUCUCCCUCGCUAAUUCUUGGAAGAACUUCUCCAUUGUUGGUGUAUCAACCUCCCAAACCUGUAUCGUAUUCACAGGUGGGGGAGCCACUGCCGCUUGCAAUUCUGUCACAAUAGCCUUCUUCGCUUUCCUUGCACAAACGAGAGAGAUAACAGCGAUAAUUCCAAGCACCACCAAGCUCAAUAUUACGGCUGCAAGUCAUGGGAGUUUGAACCAGUAAGAUCCCAACUUCAAACUGUUGUCUGUCAAUAUCGAAUUCCUUCGUAUUAUUGUCGCAGAAAGAACUUACCUCCUGCUGUAAUCCCAGAGUUGUUGCUUGGAGGAGAGUAGUCAUAUGAAGACAUCUACAAAGGUAGCAAAAUGGACCAAGUUAGAUAGGACUAUACAAUUCUCUAUUCAGUCAAGUAUAGAUAUAGAUUUUGUUUACAAAUCUCGCUGGCACCUUGGCUAGGUGAGCAAUUAAUUAACCAAAAAUUUCUUCAUUAGUUCAAGGUUUUGUGCAGUGCAGGCGUAUCAUACAUGACCCUUUAACAUACUAAGAACAAUCAAGUUAGUGAACUCACCCUCUUCGGAAGAUCACUCCUUGCUUUUCACCACCAGAAAUUGCAGCACAGCUUCUCUUUGCUCUUUGCUUCCUCCCAUUGCCUUUGUAUAUAUAUAUAUAUAUAUACAUGUAUUUGAGGGAGGAAGUUUUGGGGAAAUUUCUGUCAUAGGCCUUCAACUUGGUAGUCAACAAGGGGAAGGGAAAGAUCUACGGAACCUCUCUCUUUCACUAUCAAAUUCAAAGUGAAGAAGGAAAGAAAUUUCUCAAAAAAUUAUUUUAAUGGUAUGGAUUAUUAUGCCUAUGAGGGGAAGUUUCGGAAAAAUUCCUGCCAUUGACCUUCACGGUUGCAUUCAAAGAAUCAAAAAAUAAGAUAGAUAAAGGCAAGGAGAGAGCUACACCACCUUCGGCAAUGACAUGGAUUGGUAUCACGAAAUUUUUUAGAAAAGUCACUGACAGGCUUAAUUGCAAGGAGAUAUGGGAACUAAAUACAAGAGAAAUAUAAAUUUGUAAAAAAAAUUAUUAAUAUUUUUAAAUAUAAAAAUAUCUUCAUAUAUUAUCAUUUCUUUUAUAUCUUAAAUACAAAAUAAAUUACAUUUUAGUAUGUUUUCAAAAUUUUCAUAUUAUUACUAAGUACAGAAAUUUAUAUUAUACAUGCAUUAUUUUAUUUAAAUUCAAUAAAUAUAUUAUUACUUAUUUUAUUAUUUGCAAAGUUUUUUUAACAUUUAUAUGAGUUUUGAUUAAUUUUCAUAUAUUUUUUGUAACAAUAUUUCCCAUAUAUCCGAAAUAUCUAUAAAAUUUGACUAUUAAUAUAUAUGAGAAAACCAAUUUUUCAUUCUUAUUAUUAGAACGCAUAUGUAUUUUCUAAUUUUAUCUUUUAUUAUUAUUUUAAAUUUUAAAUUAUUAACUCUUUACUUUUAAUUUUUAAUUCUUAAUCUUUAAUUUUUAACGUUUAAAAUUUUAAAUUUCUAUUUUAUCUCAUUUGGGUAUAGUUCCUAUUUUUUAUUUUUAAAAUCAAAGCAAUAAUAACCUAUAUAUAAAAAAAAGUAAAAACUCUUUUACAAAAAAUAUAUAUUUAUGUUAUAUCUUCAAGAAUUUCUUUUAAAAAUAAAAAUAAAAAUUUCAGAUAGUAAACAUUACUUGUUAACGUAAGCUUCUAAAAGUUAUAAUAUAAAAAUUAUUACUAUUUUCUAUUUUUAAAAAUUGAAACAUGAAGCAUUCAAACAUAUACUAAAUUUUUAAUUUUUUAAAUAUUUAAUAAUAAUAAUAAUAAUAAUAAUAAUAUUUAGUAAUAAAUACAUAUAGGUCUAUUGAUAUUUAAUAGGCCGGCCACUAACCACCCAACCUAUUGAAUGCUGAUUGGGAUAUAUAUAUAUAUAUAUAUAGGUCUUUGUUGACCGGGUAUUAGAAGAAGUGAUGAUAUCAAUGCGUUGGCUAAGUUUGGUAGAGGAAAUUUCCUUGUUAAAUGUGGUAUUUGAAAUGCCACUCCCACCUUUCUCUUUCACCGUCAAGUGGAGAAAGAAAGAAAAGAAAGGACUAACAAGAACUUAAUGGUAUUUGGCUAUUUGCAGGGAUUUAGCAUGGUCUUCCCAUGAGCUCUGCUCAUCCUCACUCCACCAAAUUAGUACGCAAACGCAUCAUCAAAACUUAGCUGAACUUAACGAUAUAUAAGCAUAUUGCCCUAAAACAUGAUCAACUUACAUGGUGUAUAGCUAACACAAAGGCAACUACAAUAAUAUUAUACUACAAAUUUUUUAACAAACUCUACUUCAAUUUUCUUCUCAUUUCAUAGUUGAAACUUGAACCUCUCUCCCUUGAGUGCUUCCAUAGUUAAGAACUAGCUACUUGUAUCUCAUACUUGGCCAUGAUUGGUGUGGUUUCCUUGUACCAAAUUGAAUUGGUUUCUUUACUUGUUGCAUAGCUUGAACUUGUACCGGUUUCAUUUGCCUGCUGUAACACGUUUAUACCUACUGAGUAUAGAUAAUGAAACGGUUUUGGUGGUGGCAUGACUUCUACUCCUCCCUCCAGCAUCUUUACCACAGCACUCAUCAGAGGCCUUGAGUCGGGUGAGUCCUGAACACACCAUAGAGCCACCAUAGACAUUCUCUCUGCUUUCUCCCUGUCCUUCUCUUCAAUUCCACAGGCCACAGUCAUUGCUGCUAAAUCCCCUUUCUCAUACUCUUCCCAAACAUGUUUGGGGAACCAAUCCAUGCUCUCAUUAGAACCAAUUUUGGCAUUCCUCCUCCUCCCAACUAUCUCAAACAACAGCAUCCCAAAGCUAUAAACAUCACAUUUAUGGGUUAUAGGAUGGUUUUUCAGUAAAAAUUCUGGGGCCGAAUAGCCUGGAGUCCCUCUAUAUCCUGAGACUGUCAGGUGGGUGUUGUCCCUGUUACAAAGCUUAGCAAGCCCGAAGUCUGCAACCUUAGGAAAGAAGUUAGCAUCAAGGAGAACGUUGCCAGGUUUUAUGUCAUAGUGAAUGAUUCUUUGUACACAUUCUUCAUGUAAGUAAGCUAUGCCCUUUGCUGUUCCAACUGCUAUAUGAUGCAGUUUCUCCCACUCGAUUUCUCGUGCCUCACUGAACAAGUACUUGUCCAGGGAUCCGUUUUCCAGGUAUUCGUAGACAAGUGCACUCAUGAACUGAUCAUGGCAGAACCCAUAGAGCCUGACUAGAUUCAUAUGGUAAGUUCUGCCUAUGGUUCCCACCUCUGCCAUGAACUGUUCUCCAGCUUGUCUGUCUGGACUCCUAUUCAGGAC